UAAUUGGUUGUGACAUUUUUA
This 21-nucleotide non-coding RNA is filed under the name Drosophila melanogaster (fruit fly). Lineage: Eukaryota; Metazoa; Arthropoda; Insecta; Diptera; Drosophilidae. The record is from RNAcentral.